Molecule: ribosomal RNA, 425 nt
Filed under: uncultured bacterium
Lineage: Bacteria
Description: partial 16S ribosomal RNA
Rfam family: Bacterial small subunit ribosomal RNA
Source: RNAcentral
GUGGGGAAUAUUGGGCAAUGGGCGAAAGCCUGACCCAGCAACGCCGCGUGAAGGAAGAAGGUCUUCGGAUCGUAAACUUCUAUCCUUGGUGAAGAUAAUGACGGUAGCCGAGAAGGAAGCCCCGGCUAACUACGAGCCAGCAGCCGCGGUAAUACGUAGGGGGCAAGCGUUGUCCGGAAUGAUUGGGCGUAAAGGGCGCGUAGGCGGCCUGGUAAGUCUGGAGUGAAAGUCCUGCUUUUAAGGUGGGAAUUGCUUUGGAUACUGUCGGGCUUGAGUGCAGGAGAGGUAAGUGGAAUUCCCGGUGUAGCGGUGAAAUGCGUAGAGAUCGGGAGGAACACCAGUGGCGAAGGCGACUUACUGGACUGUAACUGACGCUGAGGCGCGAAAGUGUGGGGAGCAAACAGGAUUAGAUACCCCAGUAGUCC